CACACAGACACACACACACAGACAGACACACACAGACAGACACACAGACACACACACACACACAUACACUCACACACAGGGAAAAAGAGAGAAAAAUUAAAACUGAAUCCAUGCAGUUUAGACAGUGCUUUGGAACCAGAGACCCACAAGUGUAUUUUGAAUAAACAAAUAAGUCUUGUCCCGCCUAACAAUUUCUCUCAGUCUGUUUAAAGUCUCGAGGCAAAUGGCAACACCGAGUAAUGACAGCUACUUUUUAUUAUUAUUUUGCCUGAAGUGAACCUACGAUACUCUAAGUCCUGGAAGGAGCUACGUGUCUUGAGGCCACGUGGAAGGGUGAUUUCAUUAUCUGUUAAAUGAAAUGUGUUUUCCAAAGUUGUCACUGAGGGCUCCUAAGAUGAUUCUAAUCACACAGACGUGGAAACAGCACCGAUUCCCAGAAGGGUCGGAUCGCCAUGAUGAUCAUCUAAUUAAACAGAUGGUUUGAUGACACCCCCCUCCCCAACACCAUAUACAAAGCACAAAGCCUCCCCUGUGUCACACUCCCCUCCCCCUAAAUUAGAGUAAUGACUUCAACUUGGGUGAGAGAAUGGUGGGGAACCCCCCAUCAAGCAGUAAGGAUGAAAUUAAUGCCACUAAUUGGGGACUUCUGUUCUGGUGUGGCACGUACUGGAUCUGGAUAGAUCUCUGUCAGGGCUGAGGUCAAGUGCUGCCUAUGGACAUGCCAGGAACAGAGGGCGAGCUGGGAUCCCUAUGGAUCAGCAACUGAGGGUAACAUUUCCAUGAGGACUGAAGGUGGUUUAUCUAUUAAACGUCAAGGGGAACGCCAUUACUAGACACACAUAAAGGUAGCUAGAUACUAAGAAACAAAGUCAAUUCUCAAAAUAAAACCCCCAAAUUAUAGAGUAUGCUAUUUUUUCCCUGUAGGACCUGUAGCUGGGCAUGGAUUAGUUCCCAAACGGAUGUGCAUCCUGUCAGGAGGAUGGCGGCUCCGUCAGGAAUGAGAUCUGUAAUUAACAUGCUCCCCGAUACCGGAUUCCCAGACCAGCUUGCUUGGCCUUGGCUUCUCACCCACUUCCUUCCACACAGAGGGAAAAUGGUAGCAACCAACUCCCCCGUGGCGUCCGCGCCAUGAACAAGUCCGAGAUAUCGGGAAAUGAAAGACAAGACGUCCAACCGUUUGUGUUA
This is a long non-coding RNA of Mesocricetus auratus (golden hamster), 1185 nucleotides long. RefSeq lists it as uncharacterized. The record is from RefSeq and is a predicted model, not a curated record. Lineage: Eukaryota; Metazoa; Chordata; Mammalia; Rodentia; Cricetidae. The transcript is spliced from 2 exons.